AUGACUUCAGCAUGGACAUUGGUAAUAUUUUGCAGAGGUGAAAUAAUGUGUUUUACGAAUUGUUGCAGGUUCGGAUUGAUUCGUUUUUGUAGAGGUGAAGCCUUUUGGUACUCUCUUUUCUUCCUCUUGAUCGAUUCUUCUAUUUUUGUGGUUCUUGCAUUGUUCUAUUAUUUUGUUGUUGUGUCUAUUUCUGCGAGUGUGUUAUGUGCUUCGUUAUUAUGA
This is a non-coding RNA of Vicia faba (fava bean), 222 nucleotides long. NCBI's taxonomy places the organism in Eukaryota, Viridiplantae, Streptophyta, Magnoliopsida, Fabales, Fabaceae. The record is from the annotation of a GenBank genome assembly.